GCCUUCUUGAGGUUGCCCUUAACUGAUUCUGCCUUCAUGUUUUGUGUUUUUCAAUUAGAAAGGGGCUCCCCAGCAGUAGCUCGAUCUGUGUACAAUGUACUGUACUCUGAGGUCUCUAAACUUUCCCCAUAGUGUACGUAUGUAUGCACAUUAAAUACAUGAUUAUACCCAUACCUGCGGACAUCUGCCAACUUAAAUUGAUCCCCACUAUGUUCAGUAACUUUAAUUUUGCUACAUUUAGGUCUUAACUGUAGCAGAUCAGGGCAGAAAAUAACAUCUUUGAUCAGAGAUCAUCACAACCAGUUGUGUACGUGCUACUGACAGUUCAGAUCCAGAUUCUAUUUACAGUCUAGAGCUUUUCUAGGCAUUUAAGACCAGAGUCCAUAGUAAAAGUCUCCUGAAGGUUCAUACACGGGUGUCUGUGUAGAGAAAGGGUCUGUGCGCGGAACUUUGUCACAAAGUAACUACCGCGUUCAAUAGAGCGUUGAUCAUCUAAUGUGUGUUCACAUGCAUUCGGAAAGGCUCCUGACCCCAUGGUUUCACUCUGGACAAUGAAAGGACAUAGUAUAUGUUUACCUAGUAAAUAUAUCACAAAUACAGCUGAAUAAUGACUUGUAGCCUUUCAUAGCUCUAUAGAGCUACAUUUGGUGCCUGGCAGAAAUUGUCUCUAGAAAUAACUUUAGUAUGAAAUGAUCUACUUUUUUGAUAGGUCACAAUACACCAAAGAGAACGGUAGAAGUUGAUAUAUAUUUCUCAUCCCCUUUUCUCUUCUUUAUUUACCCUCAUUCACAUGGGUACUCUUUGAUUAUUCUCCAAAUCCCUGUGUUGAAGUGGAAUUCUCUUGUACGAUGUUCUAGGGCAGGGCUCUCCAGCCCUGUCCCUGGAGAGCUACCCUCCAUGUAGGUUUCCACUCCAGCCCUGUCCCUGGAGAGCUACCCUCCAUGUAGGUUUCCGCUCCAGCCCUGUCCCUGGAGAGCUACCCUCCAUGUAGGUUUCUGCUCCAACCCUGUCCCUGGAGAGCUACCCUCCAUGUAGGUUUCCACUCCAACCCUGUCCCUGGAGAGCUACCCUCCAUGUAGGUUUCUGCUCCAGCCCCAGCUGUAACUAACCUGAUUCAGCUCAUCAAUCAGCUAAUGACUACAAUUGUUUGCGCUAGAUUAGGGUUGGAGGGAACCUGCAGGAUGGUAGCUGUCCAGGAACGGCCUGUUCUAGGCCGUUGUGCUGGGGUCAGUGCAAGGUGGAAUGUGCUAAGCGUUGUGAUUAGGAUGGUAAGGACCUUUUUCAUCAGAGUGCUGUAUUGCUGGGUGUUGUUCUGUGUCAACAACACAUAUAAGAGGACAUCUCCUUUUCUGAGAUGCUUUUUUUGUAUUUAUUUAGAUGGAUAUUUUUCAAGAAUCUGUAUAAAGUUAACAUACGUAGUGGACAACCCUCUAUGGCUCCUGUUUAAAGGUUUGAAUAACCGUAUUUAAUGUUUUUAUAACGAGAGGUAUUUACUCCAUGAUCUUUGACAAUAUUGGUACUCAGCCAUCAUCUGUCACACUACAAUGUAGAAUUUGGCCCUCUGUUAUAAUUAUUAAUAGAUGUUCACUGUCUGUAUGUAUUACCAAUGGAGGGCAGUGAUUCUUACUGUGAAAGCCCCAAAGUGAACUUCCCCCCCCACUUAUGGUCAAUGAAAUGUACAUAACAGCCAUCACAGAGUGCCUUUUAUUGCCAUCCUCUCAUGUCAUCCGCUAUGUGAUUCUCACGUAUUACCAGGGCCUUGCUUUAUAUUUUUAUUUAGCGUCUUACAAAGGAUGUUCUGUUCAAGCGUUUCCUGUGUCACAUCUCACUUUGGAUAAAACUUUUCUAUGUAAAUAUGUAAAAAUUGUACAUGUCAUCAACCAGCAAUUCACUUAGGAGAUAUUCAAUACCCUGGACCUGUUUUCUUUGUGCUGAGUUGUGCGGUUAUCAUUUAAAGGUACUUGAACAAUAAAUACAUGUAAUAA
Molecule: long non-coding RNA, 1985 nt
Filed under: Salmo salar (Atlantic salmon)
Lineage: Eukaryota; Metazoa; Chordata; Actinopteri; Salmoniformes; Salmonidae
Description: lncRNA (ENSSSAG00000112942.1)
Source: RNAcentral